This 719-nucleotide ribosomal RNA is filed under the name Operclipygus pauperculus. RNAcentral's name for it is "SSU rRNA". It matches the Rfam family "Eukaryotic small subunit ribosomal RNA", at positions 419 to 1078 of the family's 1831-position model. The record is from RNAcentral. Lineage: Eukaryota; Metazoa; Arthropoda; Insecta; Coleoptera; Histeridae.
CAAGGAAGGCAGCAGGCGCGCAAAUUACCCACUCCCGGCACGGGGAGGUAGUGACGAAAAUAACGAUACGGGACUCAUCCGAGGCCCCGUAAUCGGAAUGAGUACACUUUAAAUCCUUUAACGAGGAUCAAUUGGAGGGCAAGUCUGGUGCCAGCAGCCGCGGUAAUUCCAGCUCCAAUAGCGUAUAUUAAAGUUGUUGCGGUUAAAAAGYUSGUAGUCGAAUCUGUGUCGUGCGCCGCCGGUUCAUCKCUCGCGGUGUCAACUGKCGUGUCGCAGGACGUCCUGCCGGUGGACUCAGCCGUCCGGUCCGUCUCCUCCGGGAGUCGGCCUSGCGGCGGUCCAACUUUAAAAAUCCCACCGCGGUGCUCUUCGCUGAGUGUCGAGGUGGGCCGGCACGUUUACUUUGAACAAAUUAGAGUGCUUAAAGCAGGCUAAAAUUUCGCCUGAAUACUGUGUGCAUGGAAUAAUGGAAUAGGACCUCGGUUCUAUUUUGUUAGUUUUCGGAACCCCGAGGUAAUGAUUAAUAGGAACGGAUGGGGGCAUUCGUAUUGCGACGUUAGAGGUGAAAUUCUUGGAUCGUCGCAAGACGGACUUAAGCGAAAGCAUUUGCCAAAAACGCUUUCAUUGAUCAAGAACGAAAGUUAGRGGUUCGAAGGCGAUCAGAUACCGCCCUAKUUCUAACCAUAAACUAUCCCAACUAUCAUCCCUCAACUUUCCUC